This 52-nucleotide ribosomal RNA is filed under the name Gyrodactylus prostae. RNAcentral describes it as "partial 28S ribosomal RNA". The record is from RNAcentral. Lineage: Eukaryota; Metazoa; Platyhelminthes; Monogenea; Gyrodactylidea; Gyrodactylidae.
UCCUGACCUCGAUUCAACGUGAUUACCCGCUGAACUUAAGCAUAUCACUACG